GGCGGCGUGCCUAACACAUGCAAGUCGUACGAGAAAGUUGGCUUCGGCCGAUGAGUAAAGUGGCGCACGGGUGAGUAAUGCGUGGAUAAUCUGCCCUUUAGUUGGGAAUAACGUACCGAAAGGUGCGCUAAUACCUGAUAAUACUGCAUAACUACUGUUGUGUAGUCAAAGAAGGCCUCUGUUUACAAGCUUUUGCUGAAGGAUGAGUCCGCGUACCAUUAGCUGGUUGGUGGGGUAAUGGCCUACCAAGGCUACGAUGGUUAGCUGGUCUGAGAGGAUGAUCAGCCACACUGGAACUGAGACACGGUCCAGACUCCUACGGGAGGCAGCAGUGAGGAAUAUUGCGCAAUGGGGGCAACCCUGACGCAGCAACGCCGCGUGAGUGAAGAAGGUUUUCGGACCGUAAAGCUCUGUCGAGCGGGAAGAAAUGUAUCAUGGCUAAUAUCCAUGAUACUUGACGGUACCGCUAAAGGAAGCACCGGCUAACUCCGUG
Molecule: ribosomal RNA, 493 nt
Filed under: uncultured bacterium
Lineage: Bacteria
Description: bacterial SSU rRNA
Rfam family: Bacterial small subunit ribosomal RNA
Source: RNAcentral